AGAUAAUUUACCAAACAAAAUUAUUCGCCAGAGAACUACUAGCAAUCGCUUAAAACUCAAAGGACUUGGCGGUGCUUUAAACCCCCUAGAGGAGCCUGUUCUAUAACCGAUAAACCCCGAUAAACCUCACCACCCCUUGCUAAUCCAGUCUAUAUACCGCCAUCUUCAGCGAACCCUUAAAAGGAAAAAAAGUAAGCAUAAUUAUCUCACAUAAAAAAGUUAGGUCAAGGUGUAACCUAUGGGAUGGGAAGAAAUGGGCUACAUUUUCUACUCAAGAAUAGUCUACGAAAAUUUUUAUGAAACUAAAAACUAAAGGCGGAUUUAGUAGUAAACUAAGAAUAGAGAG
This 346-nucleotide ribosomal RNA is filed under the name Tremarctos ornatus (spectacled bear). RNAcentral's name for it is "partial 12S rRNA". It matches the Rfam family "Bacterial small subunit ribosomal RNA", at positions 845 to 1356 of the family's 1533-position model. The record is from RNAcentral. Lineage: Eukaryota; Metazoa; Chordata; Mammalia; Carnivora; Ursidae.